UCCUGGAGCGGCCGAUAUCUGAUUAGUUAGUUGGUGAGGUAAAGGCUCACCAAGGCGACGAUCAGUAGCUGGUCUGAGAGGACGACCAGCCACACUGGAACUGAGACACGGUCCAGACUCCUACGGGAGGCAGCAGUGGGGAAUUUUGGACAAUGGGCGAAAGCCUGAUCCAGCAAUGCCGCGUGUAGGAUGAAGGCCCUCGGGUUGUAAACUACUUUUGUACGGAACGAAAAGCUCUCUUCUAAUAAAGGAGAGUGAUGACGGUACCGUAAGAAUAAGCACCGGCUAACUACGUGCCAGCAGCCGCGGUAAUACGUAGGGUGCGAGCGUUAAUCGGAAUUACUGGGCGUAAAGCGCACGCAGGCGGUCUGUUAAGUCAGAUGUGAAAUCCCCGGGCUCAACCCGGGAACUGCAUUUGAAACUGGCAGGCUUGAGUCUCGUAGAGGGGGGUAGAAUUCCAGGUGUAGCGGUGAAAUGCGUAGAGAUCUGGAGGAAUACCGGUGGCGAAGGCGGCCCCCUGGACGAAGACUGAGCUCAGGUGCGAAAGCGUGGGGAGCAAACAGGAUUAGAUACCCUGGUAGUCCACGCCGUAAACGAUGUCGACUUGGAGGUUGUGCCCUUGAGGCGUGGCUUCCGGAGCUAACGCGUAAGUCGACCGCCUGG
RNAcentral lists this ribosomal RNA (663 nucleotides) under uncultured bacterium. RNAcentral's name for it is "bacterial SSU rRNA". It matches the Rfam family "Bacterial small subunit ribosomal RNA", at positions 219 to 876 of the family's 1533-position model. The record is from RNAcentral.